This 646-nucleotide ribosomal RNA is filed under the name Jahnoporus hirtus. Its description in RNAcentral is "eukaryotic LSU rRNA". Lineage: Eukaryota; Fungi; Basidiomycota; Agaricomycetes; Polyporales; Postiaceae. The record is from RNAcentral.
GUAACAAGGUUUCCGUAGGUGAACCUGCGGAAGGAUCAUUAUUGAAUUUUGAAGGAGCUGUUUUGCUGGCCCUUUUAACCGGGCAUGUGCACGCUUCGCUCAAUUCCAUCUCCUUACCCCUGUGCACUCAUUGUAGGUCGGUCGGAAGGCCUUCCUAUGUCCUAUUAUAAAUAACCUCAUGAUUGUCGUGGAAUGCAUCGCGUGUAACGCAUCUUUAUACAACUUUCAGCAACGGAUCUCUUGGCUCUCGCAUCGAUGAAGAACGCAGCGAAAUGCGAUAAGUAAUGUGAAUUGCAGAAUUCAGUGAAUCAUCGAAUCUUUGAACGCACCUUGCGCUCCUUGGUACUCCGAGGAGCAUGCCUGUUUGAGUGUCAUGGAAUUCUCAACUCGACCCAYCUUUUAUUAGAUGGGCUGGGCUUGGACUUGGAGGGGUGUAAUACACAUGCUGGCCCUGUGAGGGGUCRGCUCCUCUUGAAUGCAUUAGCUGGGACCUCUGUGGAUCGGCUGCUCGGUAUGAUAGUAUUUCUAUGCCGUCGCUGUGAAGCUCUUUUGGUUCGGCUUCCAACCGUCCCGUCCUGGGUACAACAUCUUUGACCUCUGACCUCAAAUCAGGUAGGAUUACCCGCUGAACUUAAGCAUAUCAAUA